AGAGGGCCUGCAGAUAGCUGCUACCUAGAGGACUCAGCCUAAAUGUCUCCUGCACAUCCAAGUGACUUACCACAUGGUUUUCCCUAUGGUUGAUUUCCUUGAUUCUGAAGAUAGAUAAACUUUAAGAAGAAAAAUGGCACCCAAUGGAAAUUUGGUGUCUCGACUUCAGUAGAGCUCUGGGUGCUAACCAUCCUCUUCCUUUGGAUCUUUUGAGCCGGUCCUCUCUCUCACUUUUUCUUCUUCCUUUCAAACAGUUCCAUAUUCAGUCUCUCCCUCUGGCUCCUGUUCCUUCUCCUGUCUCCUAAGAGAUGUUGUUCCCUGAAAAGUAAUGAAGGACCACUUUCUGAUUCCUCUCCACAGUCUCUUCGUUGCCAGUGUCAACAGCUCCCUUGCAUCGCAUGCAUGCUCCUCUAAGCAGAUUCCUGUCUUUGAGUCCCUGUCUUCGAGCUGCACUCCAGACAUAAGCACACCAUCAUCAUCCUAUCAAUACAUGUUUUAUGAAUACUUAAUUGCCAAGCAAUAAGCUAAACCCUUUGUAGGCAUUGUCUCAUUUUAACCCUUACAGGGAGCUAUAAGGAACAGAGACUUAAAGAAGCCAAAUAAGUACAGUGCCCAAGAUCACAGAGUGGGGUACAAAGUACAACAGGAACUCCAAGUCCUCCAAACUCCAAAGCCAGUAUUCUUGACCAGAACAAUAUGACUGUCUCGCCAGGACUUUAAAUUUACUAUAUCCCGCACCGAACUUCUUUACCCCCUCCCCGUUUGCUCUCCUCAAAUGUCCCUGUUUAUAAUGGUGUUACCAUUAUCUUUCCUAACAUAGAAACUCAAAACCUGGCACCAUCUUCAUUUUUCUCUUCACCCUCACAUUAGAUCAAUUUCUAAGACCUAACAAUUUCAUGUAUAGGAUCUCUACCACCUCUUCUCUGCAGUCCCACACUUAGUUCCUGGAUCCAAGUCCUCAUUAUUCCUCUCUUGGGCUGUUACCUUAACUCUGCAGUUUCUGGCUUGGAAAAUACAAUCACAUUCACAGUAACUGUCCUCAAGAAAGAAAACCAAGACAGUAAGAUAUGCAAUGAAACUAGUUUACUGAUCACUCCAUAUUGUGACCUUUUACAACAUUUAUUGUCUCUACUUUGCAUUUUGGAACUCAAUCAAAUAGUUUUGCUUUGUUAUUUAACUGUCAUAUAUGCAGAUCUUUAUACGCUUCAAGGAACCCAGUAUGCCUUUGGUACCAAAGCAGGAGAGCCUGUGGGUCUUCUCUCUAGAGCACAGUCACAGGGACUUUGCAGUGCCCAGUCUGCCUCUUUUUGUUCCAGAUUUUAAGUUCCUGGAAAAGAGACACGAUUGUCCUGGCUUGGGUCCUGUGCUGACCCCUUGAUCAAUCAGCUUUGGCUAAGCAGCAGAUCAGCCUUGUCUAAAUACAGCAAUGAGAGCCUCUCCUAUAAAUACGGCAUGUUCCCAGAAAAGGAAAAGGCAUACACCACUGUUUAUUUGUUUAUUCAUUCAUUCCAUCAACAAAUAGUUGAGCAUUCUCUCCAAAUAUAUGCAGGGUUUUUUGCACGUAUGCAAAAUGUUUAAAAUAUAACACUUCUCUCACACCAUGAAACUCAUAACAUAAAAAGAUAAGAAAUCACCAGAUAAAAAGCAUAACAAUAUUCACCCAUAAGAGACCCUCAAUUCAAUUAUAUAUGAUGGAAAAUAAUUCAGCACACCCUGCAUGAGCCUGUGGUGGUAAAAGUAAUCAGGAGUAAUGUGUGCACGUCAACAAAACAAAUUCACAACAGCACCACAAGGAAUAGACAGAUACAGAAAACAACCUCAUGUCCAUCAGGGAUAGACUAGAUCAACAAAGUGUAAUGUACUCACCCAAAUGAAUACUUUACAGCAAUGAGAAUGCCCUACAAAUAUAUACACCAAUACUGGGGAAGCUCGCAAACAACAUUAAGCAAAAGAAGCCAGACAGGAGGAAAGUACCUGGGCUGUGAUUCCAUUUAUGCAGAGUAUCAACACAGGCAAAACUAAUCUACCCCAAGGAGCAGCGACCAGAAGAGAGUGUGAAAGGAGCUACGUGUGUGCUGGCCACGCUCUGUUUCUUGAGCUGCACGCUGCUUACACCUGUUAUCAGUUUGUCAAAAUUCAUCAAGUUGUACACUUGUGUUAGUGUCCUUUUCUAUAUGUAUAUUAUCCUUCAAUAAAAAGAUUUUUCAAGUAAGUAAUUCAGUCCACAACAUGGAGCCUUUAAGCACCUUGGAGCUUUGUCACUAUGAAUAUCCUAGCGUUGCCAAUACUGUCACCCUACCCCCACCAUUACACCACCUCCUUAGAGACCCUUUGGAAAUAGCCACCAUUCUUAUCUAAGAGCUUCAACCUUUCUAGCCCCAGCUGAUCAGACUUCUUCUUAUCUGGAAACUUGGGAGCAGGAGUCAGGUGAUAAAAGUGCCUCAUCUAAUAAAUUGUAUGGAUUUGGAGGAAAGGAUCUCUGGACAUGGGCACAGUGCUAAGCCAAGAAUGCUGGUCUGCAGAAAAUAGAGCCAACACACAGAGUGAAGCAAACAGUCCUGUGGGAGAUGGAGAAGCCUCAGAGGUUGCGCACUCUCCAGCUCUGGUCAUAUAUAUCCCAGGUGUCACUGGGUAUCCUUGGGAUUGCUCACGUAGCCUUGCUAUUGAAAAACAGAAAGAAAGAAAGGCAGGCAGAAAGGCCUUACUUAUUUAAGCUAGUGCAAAUACGUUUCUGUUUGUGGAAUGUAUUAUCUCAUUUAGUCCUAACAACACUACAUAGUAAGUACCGUCACGAUUCCCAUUUCACAACUGAGAAAACGGAAGCCCAGAGAGGUUAUGUAACUCGCCCAAAUCACACAGCUGGUCAGUGGUGGUGCCAGGAUCUGGACCCAAGUACUCUUGACUCCAAAGGCUGAAAUCUUAACAACCAUAUUACACCACAUUGCAAGAGAAAUGCUGGAGAUGGCAAUGCAAAUUGUAUGUUGCAUUAAUGGAUUGAACAAACAGAGGCAUCUGAUUCUGUUAAAUGAGUUCAAAUGGUACAAAUAAUUGAAAGAUUGGCUGCUUAAGAAGUUGUUAUUUCUUUCACAAGGGAAUUAUACUUUGAGUCAUAGAUGUUAGAGAAAUAGAAAAUGCAUGGAGUGUGACAGAUUAUACUAAUGAGACUGUGUUGUUACAUCAGGAAAUUUAUUUUAUAGAUUUCAGGAAAGAACUCCCUUAGAAGAUCCUCACUGAUGACCUGUUUUUCCCAAAAUGUAAAUAUCCAGGAGAAAGGGGCUUUACUCCUAUAGAAGGAGAAAUCGAUAAAAGUUAACUUCAAGUCGUAGAGGGAGAGAGGCACCCGUGGUCACUUUCCAUGAUGAUGGCUGCCAGACCCACAAUCCACUCAGCAAGGCUUCCAGAUCAAUCACCAGCAAGCCACUGGUGACCCCCAGCAACCUUCAAAAGCUGCAAGAUGAACAGCUAUCUAGGCCCAGAACAACGCUGAAACUGCAUGACUGAAGAAGCAGGAAGACCUCUGGUGGUUGACUGACACUGUGCGUCCCAUCACUACCCACCCCCACCCUCACCGUUUCAUGAGCUUCUUGAACCUAACCUUAAGAAGCUCUGUCAGCUGGCAGAGAGGUAAGACAAUGCUAAAAAGGCAUAACGUCAACAACAAAUCCGCCUGCGUAUGUCUCUUCUCCCUCAUCCAUUCCCCACCAUUUGAGCCACAGGAAGUGUAACCUGUGUUUCGUGACUAAAGGACAUCAAGCUAUGACAAAUUCUAUUUGUGGAUGAUCCUGCCUUCUUCAAACUGACAGCCAAUAAAAACAUAUGAAAGAACAACAUAUCAAUAAACUGAGCAAGGCUUAUAUUCACCAUACAGUCAUGACAGUAUCUGCUUCGUGGGCGCCUCGGUGGCUCAAUGGGUUAAGCGUCUGCCUUCGGGUCAGGUCAUGACUCCAGGGUCCUGAGAUCGAGCCCUGCAUCAGGCUCGCAGCUCAGUGGGGGAAGCCUGUUUCUCUCUCUUCUACUCCCCCUGCUCGUCUUCCUGCUCUCGCUGUUUCUCUCUCUCUCUCUCUC
Molecule: long non-coding RNA, 4065 nt
Organism: Mustela lutreola (European mink)
Lineage: Eukaryota; Metazoa; Chordata; Mammalia; Carnivora; Mustelidae
Exons: 3
Source: RefSeq, a predicted model, not a curated record